Apis cerana (Asiatic honeybee) is the source of this 4812-nucleotide long non-coding RNA. RefSeq lists it as uncharacterized. Lineage: Eukaryota; Metazoa; Arthropoda; Insecta; Hymenoptera; Apidae. The record is from RefSeq and is a predicted model, not a curated record.
UAUUCUUGAAUUAACUGUAGCACAAUGCUACUCGCGUGCACGAAAAUAGAGGUCUCUGUUUCACGUGUAUUUAAUCCUUUUCGUGAUAGUGUAAAUUAUUUAUAUUAAUUUUCUUAAUAAUUUUAUUAUUUUAUCACACUGUUUAAAGAUUAAUUUAUUAUAGUUUUAGUAUUCUAUAUUUAAUUAUUUUAUAAUUUUUAAUUUGUUUGUAUUAGUUUUGUAUAGAAUAUAAAGUAUAGAAAUUACGAUGAAUCCAAAAAAUGAUUAAUACACGCUCAAAAUCACGAUCUCUAAUCGAAACCGAGAAUUUUGACUCUUUCGCAGUUCACUUUAAAAAUUCUCUUUUGCUUAAUUCUUUGAUGUCUUUAGUAGUACUUCUAAUUUUAAUCUUAAAACUUUUUUUUUGAAGUAAAUUGCUGUCUUUGAGGUGAUUCAUAUCAUUAAACUUUACAUAAUUUUUAUUGUUAAGGUAAUAAUUAUGAUUUGCAUUAAAAUUCAAAUUUUUGAAACUUUUAUCGUUUUAAUGUAAUAAAUAUGGAGAUUCGUAAAAAUUUAUGCGUGAAAGAGUUGGUAUACCUGCUUCUGCAUGUUAAUUGUACGUUUGUCACAUUGAAUAUCCAUAUUUUCUUUUCUUUUUUUCUUUUUUUACAGUGAUAAAAUUUAUCAUUUAUUGCAAAUGGACCACGGUUCUCCAAGAACUUCUUAAUUUGAAAUUAAUUGAAGACAGAUGUUCUUUCUCUAUUCAUUAUCACGCUGUUCCUCCUUAAUAAACACAUUUUCCUUUAAAAUGCAAUCGCAUUGUUAUUCAGCGAAAGGAGAAAACGUUCGUUUCCGAUUUCUAACCUUAACUCGCUGCGACAGAAAUCCAUCUUCCAUCGUAAUCCAACUCUUGGCUUUCUGCUAAUUGCGUCAACACGGAAGGAACUAACUUUCUGCGACAUUAUCAGACGUUCUGAAGCGAGUUAAAUGGAACGAACUUUAUCUCGUUAACAAAUGCAGAUUAUACAAAUUAUACACAGUCUGAAAAGAUGUUGUAUCUUGAUAAAAGUGAUAAAGAAAAAAGUAAUAUGUAAAUAUAAGAUAUAAAUAUAAUAUUUAUAAGAUAUAUUAUAUUAUCUUUUGACAUAUAAAUAUAAUAUAUAAAAAUAUUAUAAAUGAUAUAAAGACAUGAUAUGACGUUUCUCAAGCAGCAUCGAUUCUUUAUAAAGAAACACGUGUCAAUUUUGAUAAAAUUUAAAUAUGAUGUAAUAUUUAUAUAAAUAUUUGAUAUGUAUUUUUUAUUUUACAUUAUUAUACGUUAAAGGAAUGAUAAAAAUAGUAAUUGCAAUAUUAUUAGUGACAAGAAAUUUUGACAUGGCAAAUAAAUGAUAUUUAUAUUAAAUUGUUUCGAAUUUUUAUAAUAGAUCGAUACAUUGCAAAAUAUUUAUUUAUCCAUAUUUCGAAGGUCGCUACUUUAUCAAUUAUGAAUCUUGAUUAAUCUCAAUAAGUGCGAAAUUAUUUGAAAAUUAUAAGAAAGAUUUCUACUUGAUGACAAGAACGAUCCUUAUUAAUUUUCCAGCAUCAUUUGAAAUUUUCAUUCGAUGAAGUAUUCAUUCAUUAUGUAAUAUAUUUAUUGUGUAAUAUAUUCAUCAUAUAAGUAUUAUAUUGUACAAUUACAGUAGUUACUUGUAGUUAUGCAGCAAAAGUUAUGCACUUUAUGAUCAAAGUUUGAUUAAUCAUCUUUUGAACGAGCCUGUUUAAUAAUUGGGCGUUAUUAUAUCAUCUAUAUGAUUUGUAACGUCAUCUUUCAGGUGAUCAAGUGAAUAGAAUAACGAUACAAUGAUCGACGUUAAUUAAUCAAUGAAUUCAGCCUAUUAAUUCAAAAACUAUUAUGAUCAUCUUUCUGUACAAUCCUCUUGAGUAAGAUUAUAAUAUCUCCGAUUCUAUCUCUAACAAUAAGUUAAUGUUAAUUAAGUUUUCCAGUAAUUUCUCUACUUGAUACGUUAAAAUUAAAAUUAAAUUUGAAGAUUUCUUUCGAGCUUAGGUCAGAUUGAGAAAGGCAAUUAUCAUUUUUUUCAAUUUUUCAAUCUUAAGAUUAUUCUCGUAUGCGAUCUUUUAUCAGAAUGAAAUAUGUCAAUUUUUAUUUUAUUGUUAAUUAAGUUUUCGAAAUUUUUCUCUGUGAUAUUAGAAAUAUGUUGGGACUUCUUCAACUAUUGCUUAAGGAAAACAUAUCCAUCACUUUUCAAUUUUUUAAUUUUAAGAUGUCAGUACGAUCCUCUAGAGUGAAUUAUCUUUUUUCUAGUGUUAAUUAAAUUUUCUUUAUUUAGUAUUUUAAAAUUAGAAGUAGAUUUAAUCUUUGAUUACUUUAUAUAAUUUUUAUUUUUUAGUUUUUAUUUUUUAGAUGUGUGAUACUCUUAUUUUCAUUUUCAUAUAAUAUCGUGAUGGACAUUUUAUAUUUAAUAUUUAAUAUAUUCCUGUAAAAGUACAUAAUUCGUAAUUUAAAAAGGAAUUUAUAUUCUGAAUAUAAAUCGAAUUUUGUAUAAAGAAUAGAAUUGACGAACUAAUUAAAGUAAAUGGGAGUGUUGUGAAAUUAAAAGAUUCAUCUCAAAAUCAAUGGAAUUAAAUGUUUGGUAUUCAUUUAGAAAUCAAAUCUUAUCUUGAAAUAUUUGUUAUUUCAUAUUAUGGGUAGAUAUAUCCACAAAAUCGAAGAAGUGCAACUAAAAUUGCGAGACAGAUGCUAUUUUAGUUCAAUUUCUUCAUAUUUCUAAAAAUAUAAAUUUGCAUAAAUAUUCUUAUCCUAUUCUCUUCACAUUUUAAAUUUAUAUAAUAUAUAUGUAUUAGUAAUUGGAAAGACUAUCUCGUUUUGCUUCAAAGAUAUCUGUUUUGAUUCAAUUUUUUUCAUAUUUUUAAAAAUAUAAUAGAAAUGUAUAUAAACAUCUUUAUUCUACUUUUCUCAUAUUUUAAACUAUAUUAUGUAUAUGAAAUGUUAAAUUUCCAUAUAUUGAAAAAUACUCAUAAUUGGAUAAAUAAUAACUUUACACAUAAUUCAACACAAUUUCUAUUUCGGAUAAAUUUCUGCACAUAAACUUCUUUUUCCAUAUUUCAACUUAUAUUAUCCAUGUACAAUAGAUUAAAUUUCCAUAUUUUCUAAAAAUAUCAAAUAUUCCCUCCUCACAUCACGUAAAACAAACGUAAAACAAGGUUCAAUGUUCCUCUAUAAAUUUCAAAGGAGGAUUUCCUAAAAACGACCGCUGAUAAUCAUCAUGCGAAUAUUCGUGCACGCGAGAACGUUAAUAUUGCGUGUAUAUUAAUGUGCAGGAACCACGAAGUAAACAGUCAACUUAACAACCGGGUGUCUGCAUUGCGGCAUGGAAAACACACAACCGAGUUUGUUGCCUCGUAUCUCAUCGUGUUUCCGCUUGUCUUUGUUUCGUUUCCCGACUUUAUCCGAAACGUAGAGAAUAUCCACGCUCGUAAAUUUUUGGAUGUUCGCUAUGAUGGCGCUGAUUCCAUUCUUCUUACGUUCGUUGCGUCUAUAUGAAAAUAGAAUGCAAAUGGAUUCUCGUAAAUAUAUAUUGUCAUAAAUGUAACUAAUGUAAUUCUUGUAUCUAUUCGCGACUCCUAUCGUUAAAAUAAUGGUGCAAAUGAAGCGUGUGGAAUUUUGACGAUGUUUAUAGUUAAGAAUAGGAACGAGAUUCUGAGAUAUCUUGAGGUUAAGAAGUUUGGAAUUUCUAGUGAUCCGAACAGUUCAGAAAGUUGUAAUAGAAAAUUGGAUAAAUGGAUUAAAUUUGAAUCGAUAAUUUUCUUUUUGAAUAGUUAUAUUCAAGAAGUUUGAUUUUCAAGAAUUGCAAUGGAGAUUUAGAAAAUCUUUUUUCAAAUUUAAAAGUCAUUUUUAUUAAAUCACUGAGGUUAAGUUUUGGGAUUUCUAAACGUACAACUUUAAUUCUUUUGUUGGAAAGUUAAAGAAAAUAAAUUGAGUUUGAAGGUUUGGUUUAGGAUUUAGAUUAGAUCGAUUAGAUUUCUUUCAGAAAAUUCAAAUUUCAGAAAUAUUUAUUCAUUAUAUAUCUCUUUUACACGGAUACAAAUUUCUUUCUUUUUCUUAAAAAUUUCAAAAAGAUUCAUUCAUUUAUAGAAUAUACAUACAUGAUUCUCAAUAGACAAUUUGCCACCCUUGUCUUCAACACAUCAUCCAAUGCAUUCAUAAAUCAAGCUUUGAAUUCACGUAUAGAAGUUACGUGCAAGGAAUCUCGAAUCGAGUCAAUAUUUUACAAUAAACAAUUGCAUGUCCUCUCGAAGACGAGUCAAUAUAAUACUGCGUGGGAGGCGCAUUAUUACUAUGCACUCAGAGAUAAUGCAUGGCAACACAUGCUGAUUUUAGCGACCGAAACGUGUUUCGCUCGUGGCUUUUACUUAUAUAUAUGUAUUGCGGAUGUUUCACAAUUAGGAGACUAAAUAAAUUUCACAAUCCUUUAUAUACAACUUUGUUUUAUGGGAUAUAUAGCGUAAAAAAUUUUAGAAAAUUUUUUUAGAAAAAUAGGAAUAGUUAUACGUAAAAGUAUACGUAUUGUAUUGGCUCGUGAAUUUUUAUGUUGAAUGUGUAAUGUGAAUAUAAUUUUAAAAUGUAAUGGUGAAACUGUGUGGAAAAAUAUUUGUUUGUGAAUAAUAAAAAUUUGGAAUAAUAGAAAAAGAAUGUGUAAUUUUUAUAUGAAGAAAUUUUUUUUUAAUGUUGUGAAAUUUUUUUGAACAUGUAAAAAAAUAUUUAUUUGUGAAUCAUUUGUGAAUAAUGUGAAUAUCUUUUUCUUUUGAUAUUAUAAAAUUUUUUUUAAAUAUAUG